AACGAACGCUGGCGGCAUGCCUAACACAUGCAAGUCGAACGAGACCUUCGGGUCUAGUGGCGCACGGGUGCGUAACGCGUGGGAACCUGCCCUUAGGUUCGGAAUAACUCCCCGAAAGGGGUGCUAAUACCGGAUAAUGUCUUCGGACCAAAGAUUUAUCGCCUUUGGAUGGGCCCGCGUUGGAUUAGCUAGUUGGUAGGGUAAAAGCCUACCAAGGCGACGAUCCAUAGCUGGUCUGAGAGGAUGAUCAGCCACACUGGGACUGAGACACGGCCCAGACUCCUACGGGAGGCAGCAGUGGGGAAUAUUGGACAAUGGGCGAAAGCCUGAUCCAGCAAUGCCGCGUGAGUGAUGAAGGCCUUAGGGUUGUAAAGCCCUUUUACCCGGGAUGAUAAUGACAGUACUGGGAGAAUAAGCUCCGGCUAACUCCGUG
This 433-nucleotide ribosomal RNA is filed under the name uncultured bacterium. Its description in RNAcentral is "partial 16S ribosomal RNA". It matches the Rfam family "Bacterial small subunit ribosomal RNA", at positions 29 to 507 of the family's 1533-position model. The record is from RNAcentral.